UUUUUUUUUUUUUAGCUCAGCCCAUUCAUGACUACCUGAUGCCAGUCAUGUUUGCAUUGGCACAGCUCCAGAAGAAGAAAUUCCACUUCAGAGUGCUGAAUACUGGUUCUGUUAAAGCUUUAGCAGGAAGUAAGUGAGACUAAGCAACACAACAGAAUUUUACACACUUAUACCAAAGGAAGUGGUGAGAAGCCUCAUCUUCUACUGUUCAGCUUCACCAGUGUACGCCAGCAUUCUGGUUGCUGUGGCUGACGUCAGCACUGGCAGGGGAAGCUUAGGUUGAGAAAACAUCCAAUGUCUGAAGCCAAACAGAUGCCGCUGCUCGAUAUCCAUUACACCAGUAUGGAAAAAGAAUAAAAAAACAUUCCACAGGCUAUGGGAGUAAGCCAGCGCCUGCAGUCAGUCGGACUGAUAUGGAGCGGAGCAAGGAAUGCAAGAUAUGCAGCGGGCUGCGCAAAUGAAAUGAUCCCAGAUGGAGCCAGAAGAGAGGGCUUUUAAGAGUAUUACACAGUUAUGUAACAAUGAUAAAAAUAGCAUGCCAACAUCUACAGAUCUAAGUCUUACAGAAAUCUUAAGCAGCAGAAAACCUGCAUGUCAGUAAUUCAUUAACCAAAGUAAAACGCAUCAUCCCAGUUUAGAUACAAAUAAACUAGAUAUUAUUCAAUGUCUAUGGCCAGAUAUAGACAAAUACAAGGAUUUUAGGACAGAAUUACAAAAUCUCUAAGGAAAAGGUACAUUGAUGUAUAUAGAUGUUUGCCAUUGCUAUUUAAUGAUUCACUUACCUAACUGGAAACAUAGUAGAUAGAUGCAAUGGCCUAAAAAGUAGACGUGAAGCAAGGGAUUCAUAUCCGGUCUAAUCCUAUGGCACAAUGGACUGCAUUUCCGGUUUUAGUAUAAAGUUGCUCAAGUUGGUAAUAUGCCUUACAUGUGUGGUUGGUAUACACUGAUCGGCCAUAAAAUUAGAACCACCUGCCCA
Molecule: long non-coding RNA, 976 nt
Organism: Hyla sarda
Lineage: Eukaryota; Metazoa; Chordata; Amphibia; Anura; Hylidae
Exons: 4
Source: RefSeq, a predicted model, not a curated record